UGGGGAAUAUUGCACAAUGGGCGCAAGCCUGAUGCAGCCAUGCCGCGUGUAUGAAGAAGGCCUUCGGGUUGUAAAGUACUUUCAGCGAGGAGGAAGGCGGUAAGGUUAAUAACCUUAUCGAUUGACGUUACUCGCAGAAGAAGCACCGGCUAACUCCGUGCCAGCAGCCGCGGUAAUACGGAGGGUGCAAGCGUUAAUCGGAAUUACUGGGCGUAAAGCGCACGCAGGCGGUCUGUCAAGUCGGAUGUGAAAUCCCCGGGCUCAACCUGGGAACUACAUUCGAAACUGGCAGGCUAGAGUCUUGUAGAGGGGGGUAGAAUUCCAGGUGUAGCGGUGAAAUGCGUAGAGAUCUGGAGGAAUACCGGUGGCGAAGGCGGCCCCCUGGACAAAGACUGACGCUCAGGUGCGAAAGCGUGGGGAGCAAACA
This 427-nucleotide ribosomal RNA is filed under the name uncultured bacterium. Its description in RNAcentral is "partial 16S ribosomal RNA". It matches the Rfam family "Bacterial small subunit ribosomal RNA", at positions 355 to 774 of the family's 1533-position model. The record is from RNAcentral.